GUCCUAUCCAAACCUGUCUUCAUCUUUGUUUGGUUUAUUUGUGAGAUUGUUGCAACACAUUAAGAAGCAUACAUAAGUUAAACACAUGGACAACAUAGAAAUCAUCUUCUAGGUUGCUCUUACAAACUGAAACCUUAAACUUCACAUCCUAAUCGGAGCUUAUUUUGUCCUAAAUAAUUGAGAGUGUUUCAUCUGCAUCUUCAAGUUCUUCAAGUUUUUCAUCUGCAUCUCAAAUUUCCAAAAGUGCUCCUAUUUAAUGAAAUGAUUAUUUGUUAACUUUUAUAUUUAUUUAAAAAUUCUAUGCCAAACAUUGAUUACACCCCAUUUCAUCCUACACCCC
Molecule: long non-coding RNA, 340 nt
Filed under: Vigna radiata
Lineage: Eukaryota; Viridiplantae; Streptophyta; Magnoliopsida; Fabales; Fabaceae
Description: long non-coding RNA (VRAD_LNC011109)
Source: RNAcentral